CGAUAGCUAAGACCGGAUAACUGGUUUUCUCGCAUGAGAGAAUUAUGAAACACGGAGCAAUCUGUGGCUGAUAGAUGGGCCUGCGGCGCAUUAGCUAGUUGGUGGGGUAACGGCUCACCAAGGCGACGAUGCGUAGCCGACCUGAGAGGGUGAACGGCCACACUGGGACUGAGACACGGCCCAGACUCCUACGGGAGGCAGCAGUAGGGAAUCUUCCGCAAUGGACGCAAGUCUGACGGAGCAACGCCGCGUGAGUGAUGAAGGUUUUCGGAUCGUAAAGCUCUGUUGCCCUAGACGAACAGCAUGAGGAGUAACUGCCUUGUGUGUGACGGUAUAGGAGAAGAAAGCCCCGGCUAACUACGUGCCAGCAGCCGCGGUAAUACGUAGGGGGCAAGCGUUGUCCGGAAUUAUUGGGCGUAAAGCGCGCGCAGGCGGUUGAUUAAGUUGGGUGUUUAAGCCCGGGGCUCAACCCCGGUUCGCAUCCAAAACUGGUUGACUUGAGUGUAGGAGAGGAAAAGUGGAAUUCCACGUGUAGCGGUGAAAUGCGUAGAGAUGUGGAGGAACACCAGUGGCGAAGGCGACUUUCUGGCCUAUAAACUGACGCUG
This 606-nucleotide ribosomal RNA is filed under the name Paenibacillus sp. RNAcentral describes it as "bacterial SSU rRNA". It matches the Rfam family "Bacterial small subunit ribosomal RNA", at positions 157 to 748 of the family's 1533-position model. The record is from RNAcentral. Lineage: Bacteria; Bacillati; Bacillota; Bacilli; Caryophanales; Paenibacillaceae.